AGAGAGCAAAAGGAUGAAAAAGAGAGGUAUAAAACUUUCAGCAAUGGAUGUCUUGGCUCGCGCUUCGAUGAAGGACGCAGCGAAAUGCGAUACGCAUUGUGAAUUGCAGAUUUCAGUGAACCAUCAGAUUUCUGAACGCAUAUGGCGCUGCCGGGAUUUCCUCUGCAGCACGUCUGUUUCAGUGUC
This 186-nucleotide ribosomal RNA is filed under the name Eimeriidae sp. US1. Its description in RNAcentral is "5.8S ribosomal RNA". The stretch from base 33 to 186 matches the Rfam family "5.8S ribosomal RNA". Rfam says of the family: 5.8S ribosomal RNA (5.8S rRNA) is a component of the large subunit of the eukaryotic ribosome. The record is from RNAcentral. Lineage: Eukaryota; Apicomplexa; Conoidasida; Eucoccidiorida; Eimeriidae.